This 440-nucleotide ribosomal RNA is filed under the name Blastocystis sp. subtype 1. RNAcentral describes it as "SSU rRNA". It matches the Rfam family "Eukaryotic small subunit ribosomal RNA", at positions 477 to 933 of the family's 1831-position model. Lineage: Eukaryota; Bigyra; Opalinata; Blastocystidae. The record is from RNAcentral.
ACAAUGCGGGACUAUCAGUCUUGCAAUUGGAUUGAGAACAAUGUACAACUCUUAUCGAUAAGCCAUUGGAGGGCAAGUCUGGUGCCAGCAGCCGCGGUAAUUCCAGCUCCAAUAGCGUAUAUUAACGUUGUUGCAGUUAAAAAGCUCGUAGUUGAAGUGUGGGUGAUCGCUGUUGUGAGACUUCGGUCUCUCGAUAGUAAGUCACCCCCUUCCAGUAUCCAGUAGUGGGUAUUCAGUUACUUACUAUUGUGUGUUGGUCGUUUACUGUGAGAAAAUUAGAGUGUUCAAAGCAGGCGUUUGCUUGAAUAGAUUAGCAUGGAAUAAUAAUUGAAGGCUUUCGUGUUCGAUUUGAUUGGUUUGUUCAUGGAAGCAAGGUUAAAAGGAACAGUUGGGGGUAUUCAUAUUCACUAGUUAGAGGUGAAAUUCUCGGAUUUAUGGAA